AAGAGUGGAAAACUUGCUCGAAGAAAUGAAGGAAAUCUUGAUUAAUCAUUAGCUAACCAAGAAGAGACUUCAAGUGACUGCACACUGCAGGGAAUACAUGAAUUACUCCAGGAAUGCCACUAAACAAACUGCAGCAACAACAGCAACAAUAAACCCUGGGCAGAGAGGGAAUCUGAUUUCCAAAGAAACAACUUUAUAUGAUCUAAAAUUUCUGUAUUCAAGAAAAAUUUGUGACACACAAAGAAUCAGAAAAGUGUAGUCCAUAUUCAGGUAAUGAGGUUGUCAACUGAAACUAUCCCUGAGGAGGCUCAUAUGUCAGACUUUAUAUGCAAAGAUUAAAAGUCAGCUAUGUUAAAUAUGUUCAAGGAACUGAAAUAAACCAUGUAUAAAGACCUAUGAAGUAGCAACAAAGAGAACAGGUCUCAACAACAGAUUCGAGCUGGCAGAAGAGAGAAUAAGCAAACACGAAGCUGGGUCAAUGGAAGUUAUCCAGUCUGUGGAACAUGAAGAAGUGAAACAGAAAAAUAGUGAAAAACAUAAAGAGAAUGGACCCUCAGAAACAUAUGGUAUACCUUCCAGCAUACCAACAUAUAUGUAAUGUAAGUCUCAGAGCAUGAAUAAAGGGAAUAAGGAACAGAAUAUUUGAAGAAAUAAUGGCCAAACUUUCCCAAAUUUGAUGAAAAUUAUUGUGUCCAUCUAAGAAGGUCAAUCAAUUUCAAAUAGGCUGGGCACAGUGGCUCUCACCUGUGAACCCAGUACUUUGGGAAGCCAAGACUGGAGGAUUGCUUGAGUCCAGGAGUUCAAGAGAAGCAUGGGUAACAUAGCGAGACCUCACCUCUUAAAAAAAAAAAUGGCUGGGCAUGGUGGUGCAUGCCUGUAGUCCCAGCUACUCAGGAGACUGAGGCAGGAGGAUUGCCUGAGCUCAGGAGGUCAAGACUGCAGUGAGCUAUGAUCAUGCCACUGCACCCCAUCUGGAGUGAGAUCCUAUCUCAAAAAAAAAAAAAAAAAA
RNAcentral lists this long non-coding RNA (1009 nucleotides) under Macaca fascicularis (crab-eating macaque). RNAcentral's name for it is "lncRNA (ENSMFAG00000054602.1)". Lineage: Eukaryota; Metazoa; Chordata; Mammalia; Primates; Cercopithecidae. The record is from RNAcentral.